UGGCUUCGGUCAGACAGAGAGACAGGGUGGUGCAUGGUUGUCGUCAGCUCGUGUCGUGAGAUGUUGGGUUAAGUCCCGCAACGAGCGCAACCCCUACGUUUAGUUGCUAACGUGUAACGAUGAGCACUCUUAGGCGGACUGCCGUUGACAAAACGGAGGAAGGUGGGGAUGACGUCAAAUCAUCAUGCCCCUUAUGUUCUGGGCUACACACGUGCUACAAUGGCCGGUACAAAGGGACGCAAAGCCGCGAGGUGGAGCAAAUCCGAUAAAAGCCGGUCUCAGUUCGGAUUGCAGGCUGCAAUUCGCCUGCAUGAAGUCGGAAUCGCUAGUAAUCGCAGGUCAGCAUACUGCGGUGAAUACGUUCCCAGGCCUU
This 373-nucleotide ribosomal RNA is filed under the name uncultured Cryptanaerobacter sp. RNAcentral's name for it is "bacterial SSU rRNA". It matches the Rfam family "Bacterial small subunit ribosomal RNA", at positions 1014 to 1382 of the family's 1533-position model. The record is from RNAcentral. Lineage: Bacteria; Bacillati; Bacillota; Clostridia; Eubacteriales; Desulfotomaculaceae.